AUAAAUUAUUUGUAGUCUUAGUCUUAGGGGCUCUUGAGCCCCCAUGAGGACUAAGAUCAGUCUCCGGGCUUUCGAGCCCUCACAGCUGGUUAGCGACAGCGCCAGUGGGGACUGACACAAAACACCUGUGCACUUGAAUGUAUCUUGGAUAGGAAUUUUCUUAUCCAAAAACUUUUUAAACCCCUAUUGAUUAACGUCUGAAUUAUUUUAUUAAAUAUAAA
This 221-nucleotide unclassified non-coding RNA is filed under the name uncultured Rhizophydium. RNAcentral's name for it is "sequence contains ITS1". Lineage: Eukaryota; Fungi; Chytridiomycota; Chytridiomycetes; Rhizophydiales; Rhizophydiaceae. The record is from RNAcentral.